This is a non-coding RNA of Anolis sagrei ordinatus, 424 nucleotides long. Lineage: Eukaryota; Metazoa; Chordata; Lepidosauria; Squamata; Anolidae. The record is from RefSeq and is a predicted model, not a curated record.
CUCCUAUGGAAUAUAAUAUGUGCCUAAAUGCUACUGAAACAGGAUCCAGCAGAACAACUCUAUUUGCUCUAAUGGUGACAACUUUUACCCUCUAACAAACUAACAGAUUCCGGAGAACGUGAGAUUGGAUGCUCAUUCAUCAAAACUCAUUUUGAUUGUGAAAGUAGUACUUUUGAAGACGUGGCCAGGGGGAGAAGAGUUUCCAGCCAGAGUUCCAAUAAAUUGUUGAAUCUGCAAAGAGGAGGACUGACUGAUACGUCUAAGUUGCCUCAACUUGGACUACAUGUGCGGCAAAUUGGAACUUUACAUCUGUUGGGGAAAUGCCUUAGCUACGAUUUAAGAUCUACUGAAGACCUGCCAAAGUUGUAAAAUGGGUUUCUCAAGUAUCACAAAACCCUGACAUGGAGCGUCCCAGAUAGGUAAG